This is a non-coding RNA of Oryza sativa Japonica Group (Japanese rice), 1020 nucleotides long. Lineage: Eukaryota; Viridiplantae; Streptophyta; Magnoliopsida; Poales; Poaceae. The record is from RefSeq and is a predicted model, not a curated record.
AUGAAUAAGAGGAGACAAGCUAAAACUCCUGCAAAUUGUGUGCAUUGUCAAUGAAUUUUCUCAGAAUAUUGAACGUCAUUGAGAAAGAGAGCUCUAUAUAAACGGAUGGAAUGUGUUAGUUCUCCACAACCGGUACGUCGAUAACGUAUUCCUCCGAGCAUCGAUCAGAAGCAAGAGAUUUCACAGGCCUGACAAGAUCAAGAUGUCGUCGUACGGGUCAGCUGAGUACCAUUACUCCAACUCAUGGUGCUUCUUCCGUUCCAAAAUACAACGUAUUUUGAUGAUGAUUUCGGAACUCGGUGCCUGUCCAGCAGGGAACAACAUUGUAUGGGACUUCCUAUGGAGCUACCAACUCGCAAUCAACGACUUCAUCGUACUACAGUGGACCAUCGAAAAGCACGACAGGAAGGGUGCCUGCGCAGCAAUCUUCAGAUUACAAGUCGAAUACUGCAGAUCAGUACUACUAUAACAGCAUAAGCAGUAGCAAAAGCCAGCAGCUGGGAGGUGCUGGAGCAAAAUCAAGCAAGGGCUCGAUUAAGAGGUAUCCGCCACUCAAUGGUUGAUCUUAACUGAUUAGACAGUGCUCCUGAUGAUGAAGAAAAACCAACGGAUUCAUAUAUGUACUCAUACAAGCACCGCGUGUGUACAAAUAAUUUCUUCAUGUGGUUCAUUAGCGUUUUGCAUACUAUGUAUUCAAUUUUUUCGUUGGUUCAUUAAUUACUGAUCGGACAGUCAGUUGUAUACUGGGGGUAUCAAAACAAUUAACCUUGUUUUGGGUUCAUCAGUGUGUAAAUUUAUGUAUGUCGCUAGCUCCGUGCUCGAUCUGUUCAUGUAUAUGUUCAUUCAUUAAUUAUUCGAUCAGUGUAUAAAGGGUGUCAAAUAGUUGCCGUGUUGUAUCUAUCCGUAUGAUAAAUGAUUAUUAGGUCAUUCCCAACACAAUGACUAGGAUGGUGUCCAUAACAUUAAAUAGACUGUCAUCUAGAAUGGAAAAUGAUGUGGCAAGUGAAUAAAUGAGGAAAG